ACGGGAGGCAGCAGUGGGGAAUAUUGCGCAAUGGGGGAAACCCUGACGCAGCAACGCCGCGUGAAGGACGAAGGUCUUCGGAUUGUAAACUUCUGUCGCAAGGGAAGAAACAAAUGACGGUACCUUGUGAGAAAGUCACGGCUAACUACGUGCCAGCAGCCGCGGUAAUACGUAGGUGACAAGCGUUAUCCGGAUUUACUUGGUGUAAAGGGCGCGUAGGCGGUCUUGCAAGUCAGUUGUGAAAUGCCGGGGCUUAACCCCGGAGCUGCAAUUGAAACUGUAGGACUUGAGUGUCGGAGAGGAAAGCGGAAUUCCUAGUGUAGCGGUGAAAUGCGUAGAUAUUAGGAGGAACACCGGUGGCGAAGGCGGCUUUCUGGACGAUAACUGACGCUGAGGCGCGAAAGUGUGGGGAGCAAACAGGAUUAGAUACCCUGGUA
Molecule: ribosomal RNA, 437 nt
Filed under: uncultured Acetivibrio sp.
Lineage: Bacteria; Bacillati; Bacillota; Clostridia; Acetivibrionales; Acetivibrionaceae
Description: partial 16S ribosomal RNA
Rfam family: Bacterial small subunit ribosomal RNA
Source: RNAcentral